AUACGUAGGUGGCAAGCGUUGUCCGGAAUUACUGGGUGUAAAGGGAGCGCAGGCGGGGAGACAAGUCAGCUGUGAAAACUAUGGGCUUAACCCAUAAACUGCAGUUGAAACUGUUUUUCUUGAGUGGAGUAGAGGUAGGCGGAAUUCCGAGUGUAGCGGUGAAAUGCGUAGAUAUUCGGAGGAACACCAGUGGCGAAGGCGGCCUACUGGGCUCUAACUGACGCUGAGGCUCGAAAGUGUGGGGAGC
This 247-nucleotide ribosomal RNA is filed under the name uncultured bacterium. RNAcentral's name for it is "partial 16S ribosomal RNA". It matches the Rfam family "Bacterial small subunit ribosomal RNA", at positions 523 to 769 of the family's 1533-position model. The record is from RNAcentral.